This 368-nucleotide RNase P RNA is filed under the name Orenia metallireducens. RNAcentral describes it as "Bacterial RNase P class A". It matches the Rfam family "Bacterial RNase P class A". Rfam says of the family: Ribonuclease P (RNase P) is a ubiquitous endoribonuclease, found in archaea, bacteria and eukarya as well as chloroplasts and mitochondria. Its best characterised activity is the generation of mature 5'-ends of tRNAs by cleaving the 5'-leader elements of precursor-tRNAs. The record is from Rfam by way of RNAcentral. Lineage: Bacteria; Bacillati; Bacillota; Clostridia; Halanaerobiales; Halobacteroidaceae.
UAAGUAGACUGGAUGAUCGCAAGUAUGGUAAAAUGGGCUAUACUUGAGGAAAGUCCGGGCUCCAUAGAGCAGGAUGCUGGUUAACGGCCAGCCGGAGUAAUUCGAGGGAAAGUGCCACAGAGAGCAAACCGCCGAUGACCUUUAAGGUACAGGUAAGGGUGAAAGGGUGCGGUAAGAGCGCACCGGGGUUCUGGUGACAGAGUCCGCAUGGUAAACCCCAUCCGGAGCAAGACCAAGUAGGGAAAGGUUAAGAGUAGCUCGCUCGUCUUUCCGGGUUAGGUCGCUUGAGGUGGCAGGCAACUGUCAUCCUAGAUGGAUGGUCAUCACCCGUGAGGGUACAGAACCCGGCUUACAGGUCUACUUAUUUA